CCUACGGGAGGCAGCAGUAGGGAAUAUUGCUCAAUGGGGUAAACCCUGACGCAGCAACGCCGCGUGGGGGAUGAAGGUUUUAGGAUUGUAAACUCCUUUUGUUAGAGAAGAUUAUGACGGUAUCUAACGAAUAAGCACCGGAUAACUCCGUGCCAGCAGCCUCGGUAAUACGGAGGGCGCAAGCGUUCCUCGGAAUCACUGGGCGUAAAGAGUGCGUAGGCAGGGUAAUAAGUCCGCUGGGAAAUCCUGUAGCUUAACGACAGAACUGCAUUUGAAACGGGUACUCUGGAGUGUGGGAGAGGUAGGUGGAAUUCUAGGUGUAGGGGUAAAAUCCGUAGAGAUCAAGAGGAAUACUCAUUGCGAAGGCGACCUGCUGGAACAUUACUGACGCUGAUGAACGAAAGCGUGGGUAGCAAACAGGAUUAGAUACCCCGGUAGUC
Molecule: ribosomal RNA, 440 nt
Filed under: uncultured bacterium
Lineage: Bacteria
Description: partial 16S ribosomal RNA
Rfam family: Bacterial small subunit ribosomal RNA
Source: RNAcentral